This 253-nucleotide ribosomal RNA is filed under the name uncultured bacterium. Its description in RNAcentral is "partial 16S ribosomal RNA". It matches the Rfam family "Bacterial small subunit ribosomal RNA", at positions 524 to 776 of the family's 1533-position model. The record is from RNAcentral.
UACGGAGGGUGCAAGCGUUAUCCGGAUUCACUGGGUUUAAAGGGUGCGUAGGAGGGCAGGUAAGUCAGUGGUGAAAUCUCCGAGCUUAACUUGGAAACUGCCGUUGAUACUAUCUGCCUUGAAUAUUGUGGAGGUGAGCGGAAUAUGUCAUGUAGCGGUGAAAUGCUUAGAUAUGACAUAGAACACCAAUUGCGAAGGCAGCUCGCUACACAUAUAUUGACUCUGAGGCACGAAAGCGCGGGGAUCAAACAGG